RNAcentral lists this ribosomal RNA (785 nucleotides) under uncultured bacterium. Its description in RNAcentral is "bacterial SSU rRNA". It matches the Rfam family "Bacterial small subunit ribosomal RNA", at positions 237 to 1013 of the family's 1533-position model. The record is from RNAcentral.
CGUAUUAGCUAGUUGGUGAGAUAAUAGCUCACCAAGGCGAUGAUACGUAGCAGACCUGAGAGGGUAAUCUGCCACAAUGGGACUGAGACACGGCCCAUACUCCUACGGGAGGCAGCAGUAGGGAAUCUUCCACAAUGGACGAAAGUCUGAUGGAGCAACGCCGCGUGAGUGAAGAAGGGUUUCGGCUCGUAAUACUCUGUUGUUAGAGAAGAACGGCUGUGAGAGUAACUGCUCACAGUGCGACGGUAUCUAACCAGAAAGUCACGGCUAACUACGUGCCAGCAGCCGCGGUAAUACGUAGGUGGCAAACGUUGUCCGGAUUUAUUGGGCGUAAAGGGAGCGCAGGCGGUUUAUUAAGUCUGAUGUGAAAGCCUUCGGCUUAACCGGAGAAGUGCAUCGGAAACUGAUAAACUUGAGUGCAGAAAAGGAUAGUGGAACUUCAUGUGUAGCGGUGAAAUGCGUAGAUAUAUGAAGGAACACCAGUGGCGAAGGCGGCUAUCUGGUCUGUAACUGACGCCGAGGCUCGAAAGCAUGGGUAGCAAACAGGAUUAGAUACCCUGGUAGUCCAUGCCGUAAACGAUGAAUGCUAAGUGUUGGGAGGUUUCCGCCUCUCAGUGCCGCAGCUAACGCAUUAAGCAUUCCGCCUGGGGAGUACGACCGCAAGGUUGAAACUCAAAGGAAUUGACGGGGACCCGCACAAGCGGUGGAGCAUGUGGUUUAAUUCGAUGCUACGCGAAGAACCUUACCAGGACUUGACAUCUUCUGCCAAUCUAAGAGAUUAGACG